UGUAUUAAUGAUUGUUUACAAUGAAACUAGGGAUGUGAACAUGAUGAAGUCUACAGUCAUUUCAACUCUGUGAUCUGAGGGAAAUACUCUCAUCCUGUGUCUCUGAUUUAUACUGUCAUGUCUUGUGUUUUCCUUGUCUGUUUUUCUUUCGUUAUACAGACACAGAUAUUAUAGACUGACUAGCGUUUAGUUUUACAUUCUAUAAAUUAUAUUGUACUCAAUGUAGAUCUCUGCAGUUGUAUAGGCUGUACGUGUAUUUUUAAAUGAUCAAAUAAAUUCUAUGACUCAAUUAGUAUUGAGUUUGUGUGUUGGGAGGGUGCUGUUGGACAUUUACUGGUGUUGUUGGGGUGUUGUUGGAAGUUGUGCCAGGCAAUCUUUCCCAUCUUCACUUUGCCUCUUUCACUUUCUUUCUUACCGGGUGUGAUGAUGCAAUAGAUAUACUGCCUUGGCCUUCAUAGCGGUCAAGGGAUUUUAUUUGAUCUUAUCUGAUUUUGUGUGUAGGCCGAGACUGGAUUCUAUCCCCCAAAAUGUUAUUCCUCUGUGUGUUAUAUUAUUGUAGAGGUACAAAAUCUUUCAUUUUAGUUUUUAUAUGGCUGUAUAAAAAUGACAGUUUAUCACACUUCAGCCAAGAGGGGAAUUUAAUCUGUGAUGUGGGAGAGGGAAUUACCACUCUGCCAUCUGGAGUUUUACUACAUUUUACCACCACUGUAUUCCAUGGAACUUAGAGCUGAUUUAUUAUUCAUUCUAUCCACUCUAUUAGCCUCUGUCAAAUGCACUUUAAACUGUAAUACAUCUGUUCUGUGAUAUCCUCCAGCAUAUUGGAGAAUAUUCUAGAAUCUGACCCUUUCUACCCCUCUAUCUCUCUGGCCCCAUCUAACCAUGCCCUUUCAGGUAACAGGUGAACAGAUAGAUAGAGGGACAGUCACUCAGCUUAUCUGUAACAGUGCCCACCUGCUCACGAGUUUCUUUCGCAUUUCUCUCUCUCACACACACACACACACACACACACACGAGAGAAGAAUCAUGUCUGUGGAAGUCCACAUAGAAUAUUGUAGUGGAUGAGGGUACGAGUCUCGCUAUCAGGACCUAGCAUCUGCCAUCAAGCGGAAUGUUCCUGAUGCGACGGUGACGGGAACCAUGGGGCGGCGCUGUAAGUUACACACACAGCUUAAAGUUACCCUGUCAGAUAGUGACGUCACAGCUGUGCUUUACACACAGAACGACGUUACAGAUCCCAUCGGACUUCAACUGACUACACUCUGAUGGUCCAUCCAUUAGAUUUGAUCAAUACCUCAGUAGAUUAUUAUGUUCUAUUCUAUAUUCUGGGGACCCCCUGAGUGAACUUUUUUUGUUGUCCCAGCACUACACAGCUGAUUCAAAUAAUCAAAGCUUGUUGAUGAGUUGGUUAUAUGAAUCAGCUGUGUAGUGCUAAUGCAAACAUCAAAACGUGCACCCAGGGGGGGCCCCAGGACCGGGUUUGGGAAACCCUGCUCCAGUAGAUGAGUGGAGAGCAAGAGGUAGAAAGGAGGAUAAAAGGGGACAGGGGGAGAGGAGGAGGACAGUGUUUUAUAAGAUCUUGGGUCCUGACCUGAUUCUAUUAUGAUUGUUCACAUUGAAACUAGGGAUGUGAACAUGGAGACUAGAGUUUGUUGUAUUUAACUAGGCACGUCAGUUAAGAACCAAUUCUUAUCUACAAUGACGGCCUACCCCAGCCAAACCAGGACGAUGCUGGACCAAUUGUGCACCGCCCUAUGGGACUCCCAAUCACGGCCGGUUGUGAUACAGCAUGGAAUCUAACCAGGGUCUGUAGUGACGCCUCUAGCACUGAGAUGCAGUGCCUUAGACCGCUGCACCACCCGGGAGUCCCCAGAGUCAUUUCAACGGUCCGUGAUUUAAGGAAAAUACUCUCAUCCUGUCUGGUUUAUACUGUUAUGUUGUUAUUCCUAUGUUUUUCUUUCAUGAUACAGGCAGGGAUAUUAUAUUAGCAUUUAGAUUUAUAUUCUAUAAGUUAUAUUCUACUCAAUACAGAUCUCUGCAGUUGUACAUGUAUUUUUAAAUGAUCAAAUAAAUGAAAUCAAUCA
Long non-coding RNA from Salmo salar (Atlantic salmon), 2081 nucleotides. RefSeq lists it as uncharacterized. NCBI's taxonomy places the organism in Eukaryota, Metazoa, Chordata, Actinopteri, Salmoniformes, Salmonidae. The record is from RefSeq and is a predicted model, not a curated record.